UACGAAGGGGGCUAGCGUUGCUCGGAAUCACUGGGCGUAAAGGGCGCGUAGGCGGACUCUUAAGUCAGGGGUGAAAGCCUGAGGCUCAACCUCAGAACUGCCUUUGAUACUGAGAGUCUCGAGACCGGUAGAGGUAAGUGGAACUGCGAGUGUAGAGGUGAAAUUCGUAGAUAUUCGCAAGAACACCAGUGGCGAAGGCGGCUUACUGGACCGGUUCUGACGCUGAGGCGCGAAAGCGUGGGGAG
This 245-nucleotide ribosomal RNA is filed under the name uncultured bacterium. RNAcentral's name for it is "partial 16S ribosomal RNA". It matches the Rfam family "Bacterial small subunit ribosomal RNA", at positions 524 to 768 of the family's 1533-position model. The record is from RNAcentral.